GAGUAUUACUCAGCAUUGUUAUUCUUUACAGAUAAUAAUGACUUAUGAGUGGACUUAGUUAACUCACUCAGGAUGGUCUUUUCUAGUCCCAUACAUUUUCUGGCAAAUUUCAUGAUGUCAUUGUUUUUUUUGUUUGUUUGUUUGUUUUUGUUUUUGUUUUUGUUUGUUUGUUUUUUGUUUUUUGUUUUUUGUUUUUUUGCAGUUCUGCAACUUUAUUUGACAUGAGUAGGUUAGUUCUCAUCCACAUUGACCGUCUGUAGAUUUUUGAAUGUGGUAACAGGCACGUAAGUUACCAGCGUGUAGAGCUUGUUUGGGGAAUCCUCAUCCUCAUUACGUUUUCUGGACAAGCGUACUCGGAUGCGAUAUGGAACAUUCCUUAUUCCCUUGGCCCAGACGGCUUUAUUGAGCCUGGUGUCAAUGCGCACAUCUGGUGUCCCCAUUUCCUUCAUGGCAAACUUCCGAAUUUCUUUGAGUGCCCGAGGAGCACGCUUCUUGAAGCCCACUCCAUGGAUGCGCUUGUGAAUGUUGAUGGUGUAUUCUCGGGUCACCACCUCGUUGAUGGCAGAACGGCCCUUCUUCUUCUCGCCACCCUUCUUUGCGGGAGCCAUUCUGCUGGGCCCAAGUAGGAAAGGAAGGGCGCGAGGGUUUGUGGGAAGGAAAGUCGCGUAGCCGUACAACUUCCGGGUCACAGGGAGGCGGGGCGAUGUCAUUGUUUUUAAUAGGUGAGUAGUAUUCCAAUAGAUGAGUAAUAUUCCAUUGUGUAAAGGUAGAGCAUCUUCUUUAUCCAUUCUAUUGUUGAGGGACACCUAGUUUAUUUCCAGUUUCUGGCUACUAGUAAUAAAGCUGCCAUGAAUGUAGUUGUACAAGUGUCCUUGUUUUAUGAUUUUUUGGGUAUAUGCCCAGGAGUGGUAAAGCUGGGUCUUAAGGAAGAUCAAGGUGGGUAAUGGUUCUGGACAUUUCUUUAAGUGAUUCUCUGCCACUUGAGGUUCCUCUGUUGAGAAUUCUAUGCUUAGAUCUAUACUCCAUUUUUAAUUAGAUUAUUUAGUUUAUCGAUAUCUAGUUUCUUGAGUUCUUCAUAUAUUUUGGUAAUCAGCUUGCUGUCAGAUGUGGGAUUGGGGAAGAUCUUUUUUCAUUCUCUAGGCUUCCAUUUUGUCCCAUUGAUGGUGUCCUUUUUCUUAUAGAAGCUUUUCAGUUUGGGGAGGUCCCCUUUACUUAUUGUUGGUCUUAGUAAGUAUGCAAUGGGUCUUCUGUUCAGGAAGUUGUCUCCUGUGAUAAUGUAUCCAUGGCUAUUUCCCUCUUUCUUGUCUAUAUAGUUUAAUAUAUCUAGUUUAAUGUUGAGGUCUUUGAUCCACUUCAACUUGAGUUUUGUACAGGGCGAUAGAUUUAGAUGUAUUUUCAUUCUUCUUCAUGCUGACAUCCAGUUAGACUAGUGCCAUUUGUUGAAGAUGCUUUCUUUUUUUUUUUUUUUUUCCAUUGUAUAAUUUUGGCUCUUUGGCAAAAAUCAAGUAAGUAUUCAUUGGUGUGUAAGUUUACUCCUGUGUUUUUGUUUCUAUUCUAUUGACCAACCUGUCUAAGUUUAUGCCAAUAAAAAUCCACAGAAUCAACUAAACUUGUCUCACAGGGGAUCACAGAGACUGAUCCGCCAAAUAGAGAGCCUAUAUAGGACUAAUGUAGGCACUCUGAACAUAAUAUGUUACAGUUGUAUAACUUCCUCUUGUGAUACUCCUAUGAAUGGGAGCAGUCUCCGUUCUCUGACUCUUUUGCCUGCAUUUAAGCCCCUUCUUCCUGGGGUUCCUCUUUCACCCUUAAUAUUAGAAAAGGUUCCUAGUCUCCCUGCCACUUGAUAUGGUAGUUAAUAUCCAUGGGAAGUCUGGCCCUUUCUAAAGAGAAGCAGAACAGUGGAUGGGGUGGGAGGACAAAAGGGGACCUGGGAGGAGAGGAGAGAGGGAAACUGUGGAUAAGAUAUAAAAAAAA
Molecule: long non-coding RNA, 1974 nt
Filed under: Mus musculus (house mouse)
Lineage: Eukaryota; Metazoa; Chordata; Mammalia; Rodentia; Muridae
Description: long non-coding RNA chr1:129801156-129803130
Source: RNAcentral